CAAGUAUUCGCCAAUAUAUUUUUAACUCACCACCGUGCAAGUUGGUCAAGCUUCCAAGCUGUAAACAAAAUCUAAUUCAAGGAUGUCGACUUCUUGUACAAUCACAGUUGGGGGCAACAGUCCAGUUAAUCCCAUUUCAAAACAAAAACAUCCACAAUCACCUACCCCAACAAGGCCAUUAAAUGUGCCAACGGUGACCCACUUUCACUGCCCAGAGAAUGUGAACAGCUGUCAGGCAUUGUGAAAUAUUGGACAACCCUUGAGACAUGCCCAGAAACGAUAAACCAAGAGCCAGUGGACAGAAGACAGGGGCCACCAACGCCUCCCAUCGCUCAUCCGACUGAAAGCGAAACAAAAGACGGCAACCGGCAAACAUGGGGAAUACUUCCGAUUCAGGACCGCGAUCCCGAUGUGGACUGAAAGUGCGAUCGCCCACACAUACGGAAUGAAACAAAGGAUCAGCUUGCCGGGCGAUGAUUAACUCGAAUCGGGUCUGACGCAUACGACGGGGUCUUUUGGAAUGGCAUGUGGACCUCGGGCACCUCGUCAAUGGCAAAAUGUGUAACCAAGCACAAAUGAAUCAUCGAAGUCGGGCCAAAAAGACCAGCCCAGACCGCAGGGCCCCCGAUCGGUAGUCGGAUGUUUUUAAUAAGGCAAGCGACAAACAACCAGAAAUUGGGUCAACCGAGAUAAAUACGAUGCACAUAAAUGGAGCCGAUUUCGGGAGUUCUUUUUCGAAACUUAAUACACUGAUGGAUAUGGGCAGGGAAAGGAGUCCCGAACAAUGGCAGGGCUUUCAUGCGAACUGUCAACUUGUCACGACAAUUAAGCAAGUCGAUGGCUAUCUGGCUAUCUGGCUAUCUAUCGGCGGAGCAUCAGGAAACGCCCACGCAUGCCAGCCGUCUUAAGCGUUAAACAAAUUAAGUAUCCGAUGUGUGGGGGGAGGACUUAUUGAAAUACGACACCAAUCGGAGUGGAUGCAUCAGGUAGAGGCGAUGACCCAAUUCGCCGUGCACUUGCGCGACAAU
Drosophila suzukii is the source of this 1028-nucleotide long non-coding RNA. RefSeq lists it as uncharacterized. The record is from RefSeq and is a predicted model, not a curated record. Lineage: Eukaryota; Metazoa; Arthropoda; Insecta; Diptera; Drosophilidae.